Molecule: ribosomal RNA, 494 nt
Filed under: uncultured bacterium
Lineage: Bacteria
Description: partial 16S ribosomal RNA
Rfam family: Bacterial small subunit ribosomal RNA
Source: RNAcentral
AUUGAACGCUGGCGGCAUGCUUUACACAUGCAAGUCGAACGGCAGCGGGGAGGAGCUUGCUUCUCUGCCGGCGAGUGGCGAACGGGUGAGUAAUACAUCGGAACGUGUCGAGAAGAGGGGGAUAACCACCCGAAAGGGUGGCUAAUACCGCAUAAAUUCUGAGGAAGAAAGCUGGGGACCUAGUAAUAGGCCUAGCGCUUUUUGAGCGGCCGAUGUCGGAUUAGCUAGUUGGUGAGGUAAAGGCUCACCAAGGCGAAGAUCUGUAGCGGGGCUGAGAGGAUGAUCCGCCACACUGGGACUGAGACACGGACCAGACUCCUACGGGAGGCAGCAGUGGGGAAUUUUGGACAAUGGGGGCAACCCUGAUCCAGCCAUGCCGCGUGUAUGAAGAAGGCCUUAGGGUUGUAAAGUACUUUUGUUAGGGAAGAAAAGUCAGCUGUGAAUAAUGGCUGAUACUGACGGUACCUAAAGAAUAAGCACCGGCUAACUACGUG